AAAUUGAAGAGUUUGAUCAUGGCUCAGAUUGAACGCUGGCGGCAGGCCUAACACAUGCAAGUCGAGCGGUAGCACAGAGAGCUUGCUCUCGGGUGACGAGCGGCGGACGGGUGAGUAAUGUCUGGGAAACUGCCUGAUGGAGGGGGAUAACUACUGGAAACGGUAGCUAAUACCGCAUAAUGUCGCAAGACCAAAGUGGGGGACCUUCGGGCCUCAUGCCAUCAGAUGUGCCCAGAUGGGAUUAGCUAGUAGGUGGGGUAACGGCUCACCUAGGCGACGAUCCCUAGCUGGUCUGAGAGGAUGACCAGCCACACUGGAACUGAGACACGGUCCAGACUCCUACGGGAGGCAGCAGUGGGGAAUAUUGCACAAUGGGCGCAAGCCUGAUGCAGCCAUGCCGCGUGUGUGAAGAAGGCCUUCGGGUUGUAAAGCACUUUCAGCGGGGAGGAAGGCGGUGAGGUUAAUAACCUCAUCGAUUGACGUUACCCGCAGAAGAAGCACCGGCUAACUCCGUGCCAGCAGCCGCGGUAAUACGGAGGGUGCAAGCGUUAAUCGGAAUUACUGGGCGUAAAGCGCACGCAGGCGGUCUGUCAAGUCGGAUGUGAAAUCCCCGGGCUCAACCUGGGAACUGCAUUCGAAACUGGCAGGCUAGAGUCUUGUAGAGGGGGGUAGAAUUCCAGGUGUAGCGGUGAAAUGCGUAGAGAUCUGGAGGAAUACCGGUGGCGAAGGCGGCCCCCUGGACAAAGACUGACGCUCAGGUGCGAAAGCGUGGGGAGCAAACAGGAUUAGAUACCCUGGUAGUCCACGCCGUAAACGAUGUCGAUUUGGAGGUUGUGCCCUUGAGGCGUGGCUUCCGGAGCUAACGCGUUAAAUCGACCGCCUGGGGAGUACGGCCGCAAGGUUAAAACUCAAAUGAAUUGACGGGGGCCCGCACAAGCGGUGGAGCAUGUGGUUUAAUUCGAUGCAACGCGAAGAACCUUACCUGGUCUUGACAUCCACAGAACUUUCCAGAGAUGGAUUGGUGCCUUCGGGAACUGUGAGACAGGUGCUGCAUGGCUGUCGUCAGCUCGUGUUGUGAAAUGUUGGGUUAAGUCCCGCAACGAGCGCAACCCUUAUCCUUUGUUGCCAGCGGUCCGGCCGGGAACUCAAAGGAGACUGCCAGUGAUAAACUGGAGGAAGGUGGGGAUGACGUCAAGUCAUCAUGGCCCUUACGACCAGGGCUACACACGUGCUACAAUGGCAUAUACAAAGAGAAGCGACCUCGCGAGAGCAAGCGGACCUCAUAAAGUAUGUCGUAGUCCGGAUUGGGAGUCUGCAACUCGACUCCAUGAAGUCGGAAUCGCUAGUAAUCGUAGAUCAGAAUGCUACGGUGAAUACGUUCCCGGGCCUUGUACACACCGCCCGUCACACCAUGGGAGUGGGUUGCAAAAGAAGUAGGUAGCUUAACCUUCGGGAGGGCGCUUACCACUUUGUGAUUCAUGACUGGGGUGAAGUCGUAACAAGGUAACCGUAGGGGAACCUGCGGUUGGAUCACCUCCUUACCUUAAAGAA
This 1551-nucleotide ribosomal RNA is filed under the name Klebsiella pneumoniae. RNAcentral describes it as "bacterial SSU rRNA". It matches the Rfam family "Bacterial small subunit ribosomal RNA". The record is from RNAcentral. Lineage: Bacteria; Pseudomonadati; Pseudomonadota; Gammaproteobacteria; Enterobacterales; Enterobacteriaceae.